ACAAGUAAGAAAGGGCGUGCGGCGGAUGCCUAGGCUCUUGCAGGCGAUGAAGGACGUGAUAAGCUGCGUUAAGCCAUGGGGAGGUGCAAAUAACCCUUGAUCCAUGGAUAUCCGAAUGGGACAACCCGGCAGGCUGAAGGCCUGUCAUCCAAUUAAAUUGGAGGCGAACGUGGGGAACUGAAACAUCUUAGUACCCAUAGGAAGAGAAAAUAACAAUGAUUCCCCAAGUAGUGGCGAGCGAACGGGGAAGAGCCCAAACCAUACGUGUUACGGCAUGUAUGGGGUUGUAGGGCCGCGACAUCGCAAGAUACAUGACGAGUGGAAGAAUCUGGAAAGUUUCCCCGUAGAUGGUGAUAGGCCAGUACACGAAGUCAUGCGAAGCGUAGCGGCACCCUGAGUAGCGCGGGACACGAGAAAUCCUGUGUGAAUCCGGCGGGCCCAUCCGCCAAGGCUAAAUACUCGCAAGAGACCGAUAGCGAACCAGUACCGUGAGGGAAAGGUGAAAAGCACCGCGAAUAGCGGAGUGAAAUAGUUCCUGAAACCGCACGCCUACAAGCGGUCGGAGCAUCUUAAUGGUGUGACGGCGUGCCUUUUGCAUAAUGAACCUACGAGUUGCCGUCGCCGGCGAGGUUAAGCACAAUGAUGUGCGUAUCCGAAGCGAAAGCGAGUCUUAACAGGGCGCAUAGUCAGCGGCGGCAGACGCGAAACCAAGUGAUCUACCCUUGUCCAGGUUGAAGUCCGGGUAACACCGGAUGGAGGACCGAACCAAUAAGCGUUGAAAAGCUUCUGGAUGAGGUGAGGGUAGGAGUGAAAGGCCAAUCAAACUUGGAGAUAGCUCGUACUCCCCGAAAUGCAUUUAGGUGCAGCCUCGGGAGUUCCCUGUGUGAGGUAGAGCGACUGAUCGGAUGCGAGGGCUUCACCGCCUAUCAAGUCCGGACAAACUCCGAAUGCGCACAGGUUAAUCCCGGGAGUGAGGGCAUGGGUGCUAAGGUCCGUGCCCGAGAGGAGAAGAAUCCAGACCGUCGGCUAAGGCCCCGAAAUGCGGGUUAAGUUAAACUAACGAAGUGCGGUCCCGAUGACAGCUAGGAUGUUGGCUUGGAAGCAGCCAUUCAUUCAAAGAGUGCGUAACAGCUCACUAGUCGAGGGACUGUGCAUGGAUAAUAAUCGGGUAUUAAACCCGCUGCCGAAGCCACGGGAUACUUAUGUAUCGGUAGGGGAGCAUUCCAUCGGCGUCGAAGGUAGGAGGACAACUUCUGCUGGAGCUUAUGGAAAAGCAAAUGUAGGUAUAAGUAACGAUAAAGAGUGUGAGAUGCACUCUCGCCGAAAGACUAAGGUUUCCCGGGCAACGUUAAUCGGCCCGGGGUUAGUCGGGACCUAAGGAUAAGCCGAAGGGCGAAGCCGAUGGCAGAAAUGGUUAAUAUUCCAUUACUACCUUUUAUGGCGAUUGCGGGGACGGAGAAGUGAAACUUCCGCGCGCUGACGGAAUAGCGCGUUAAAGGUUGUAGACGUUGAUCUGGGCAGGUAAAUCCACCCAGAGAGUCGAAGCUGAUAGUACACGAAGCCUUCGGGCAGAGUGAUAGUGAAGGUAAUCAGACUCCCGAGAAAAUCCGCUAAGCUUAACAUAAGAGGUACCCGUACCGCAAACGGACACACGUAGUCGGGUUGAAAAUACUGAGGCGCUUGGAAGAUUCACGGUUAAGGAACUAGGCAAAUUGACCCCGUAACUUCGGAAUAAGGGGUCCUCUCCUCCGGGAGAGGCGCAGAGAAUAGGUCCAGGCAACUGUUUAACAAAAACACAGGGCUGUGCGAAAUCGAAAGAUGAAGUAUACAGUCUGACACCUGCCCGGUGCCGGAAGGUUAAGAGGAGAUGUCACCGCAAGGGAAGCAUUGAAUUGAAGCCCCGGUAAACGGCGGCCGUAACUAUAACGGUCCUAAGGUAGCGAAAUUCCUUGUCGGGUAAGUUC
Molecule: ribosomal RNA, 1964 nt
Filed under: human gut metagenome
Description: bacterial LSU rRNA
Rfam family: Bacterial large subunit ribosomal RNA
Source: RNAcentral